RNAcentral lists this transfer RNA (73 nucleotides) under Marmota monax (woodchuck). Its description in RNAcentral is "tRNA.Ala". Lineage: Eukaryota; Metazoa; Chordata; Mammalia; Rodentia; Sciuridae. The record is from RNAcentral.
GUGGGGUUGUGGCUCAGUGGUAGAGCACUCGCCUAGCACAUGCAAGGCCCUGGGUUUGAUCCUCAGCACCACA